UGGGGAAUAUUGCACAAUGGGCGAAAGCCUGAUGCAGCGACGCCGCGUGAGGGAUGACGGCCUUCGGGUUGUAAACCUCUUUCAGUAGGGACGAAGCGCAAGUGACGGUACCUGCAGAAGAAGCACCGGCUAACUACGUGCCAGCAGCCGCGGUAAUACGUAGGGUGCGAGCGUUGUCCGGAAUUACUGGGCGUAAAGAGCUCGUAGGCGGUUUGUCACGUCGUCUGUGAAAUCCUAGGGCUUAACCCUGGACGUGCAGGCGAUACGGGCUGACUUGAGUACUACAGGGGAGACUGGAAUUUCUGGUGUAGCGGUGGAAUGCACUGAUAUCAGGAAGAACACCGAUGGCGAAGGCAGGUCUCUGGGUAGUAACUGACGCUGAGGAGCGAAAGCAUGGGUAGCGAACAGG
Molecule: ribosomal RNA, 409 nt
Filed under: bacterium
Lineage: Bacteria
Description: partial 16S ribosomal RNA
Rfam family: Bacterial small subunit ribosomal RNA
Source: RNAcentral